RNAcentral lists this ribosomal RNA (2896 nucleotides) under Pseudomonas vancouverensis. RNAcentral's name for it is "bacterial LSU rRNA". It matches the Rfam family "Bacterial large subunit ribosomal RNA". The record is from RNAcentral. Lineage: Bacteria; Pseudomonadati; Pseudomonadota; Gammaproteobacteria; Pseudomonadales; Pseudomonadaceae.
AUAUGGUCAAGUGAAGAAGCGCAUACGGUGGAUGCCUUGGCAGUCAGAGGCGAUGAAAGACGUGGUAGCCUGCGAAAAGCUUCGGGGAGUCGGCAAACAGACUUUGAUCCGGAGAUGUCUGAAUGGGGGAACCCAGCCAUCAUAAGAUGGUUAUCUUGUACUGAAUACAUAGGUGCAAGAGGCGAACCAGGGGAACUGAAACAUCUAAGUACCCUGAGGAAAAGAAAUCAACCGAGAUUCCCUUAGUAGUGGCGAGCGAACGGGGACUAGCCCUUAAGUGGCUUUGAGAUUAGCGGAACGCUCUGGAAAGUGCGGCCAUAGUGGGUGAUAGCCCUGUACGCGAAAAUCUCUUAGUCAUGAAAUCGAGUAGGACGGAGCACGAGAAACUUUGUCUGAAUAUGGGGGGACCAUCCUCCAAGGCUAAAUACUACUGACUGACCGAUAGUGAACUAGUACCGUGAGGGAAAGGCGAAAAGAACCCCGGAGAGGGGAGUGAAAUAGAUCCUGAAACCGUAUGCGUACAAGCAGUGGGAGCAGACUUUGUUCUGUGACUGCGUACCUUUUGUAUAAUGGGUCAGCGACUUAUUUUCAGUGGCGAGCUUAACCGAAUAGGGGAGGCGUAGCGAAAGCGAGUCUUAAUAGGGCGUCUAGUCGCUGGGAAUAGACCCGAAACCGGGCGAUCUAUCCAUGGGCAGGUUGAAGGUUAGGUAACACUGACUGGAGGACCGAACCGACUACCGUUGAAAAGUUAGCGGAUGACCUGUGGAUCGGAGUGAAAGGCUAAUCAAGCUCGGAGAUAGCUGGUUCUCCUCGAAAGCUAUUUAGGUAGCGCCUCAUGUAUCACUGUAGGGGGUAGAGCACUGUUUCGGCUAGGGGGUCAUCCCGACUUACCAAACCGAUGCAAACUCCGAAUACCUACAAGUGCCGAGCAUGGGAGACACACGGCGGGUGCUAACGUCCGUCGUGAAAAGGGAAACAACCCAGACCGUCAGCUAAGGUCCCAAAGUUAUGGUUAAGUGGGAAACGAUGUGGGAAGGCUUAGACAGCUAGGAGGUUGGCUUAGAAGCAGCCACCCUUUAAAGAAAGCGUAAUAGCUCACUAGUCGAGUCGGCCUGCGCGGAAGAUGUAACGGGGCUCAAACCAUACACCGAAGCUACGGGUAUCACGUAAGUGAUGCGGUAGAGGAGCGUUCUGUAAGCCUGUGAAGGUGAGUUGAGAAGCUUGCUGGAGGUAUCAGAAGUGCGAAUGCUGACAUGAGUAACGACAAUGGGUGUGAAAAACACCCACGCCGAAAGACCAAGGUUUCCUGCGCAACGUUAAUCGACGCAGGGUUAGUCGGUCCCUAAGGCGAGGCUGAAAAGCGUAGUCGAUGGAAAACAGGUUAAUAUUCCUGUACUUCUGGUUAUUGCGAUGGAGGGACGGAGAAGGCUAGGCCAGCUUGGCGUUGGUUGUCCAAGUUUAAGGUGGUAGGCUGAGAUCUUAGGUAAAUCCGGGAUCUUAAGGCCGAGAGCUGAUGACGAGUUACCCUUUGGGUGACGAAGUGGUUGAUGCCAUGCUUCCAAGAAAAGCUUCUAAGCUUCAGAUAACCAGGAACCGUACCCCAAACCGACACAGGUGGUUGGGUAGAGAAUACCAAGGCGCUUGAGAGAACUCGGGUGAAGGAACUAGGCAAAAUGGCACCGUAACUUCGGGAGAAGGUGCGCCGGUGAGGGUGAAGCACUUGCUGCGUAAGCCCACGCCGGUCGAAGAUACCAGGCCGCUGCGACUGUUUAUUAAAAACACAGCACUCUGCAAACACGAAAGUGGACGUAUAGGGUGUGACGCCUGCCCGGUGCCGGAAGGUUAAUUGAUGGGGUUAGCUAACGCGAAGCUCUUGAUCGAAGCCCCGGUAAACGGCGGCCGUAACUAUAACGGUCCUAAGGUAGCGAAAUUCCUUGUCGGGUAAGUUCCGACCUGCACGAAUGGCGUAACGAUGGCGGCGCUGUCUCCACCCGAGACUCAGUGAAAUUGAAAUCGCUGUGAAGAUGCAGUGUAUCCGCGGCUAGACGGAAAGACCCCGUGAACCUUUACUAUAGCUUUGCACUGGACUUUGAAUUUGCUUGUGUAGGAUAGGUGGGAGGCUUUGAAGCGUGGACGCCAGUUCGCGUGGAGCCAUCCUUGAAAUACCACCCUGGCAACUUUGAGGUUCUAACUCAGGUCCGUUAUCCGGAUCGAGGACAGUGUAUGGUGGGUAGUUUGACUGGGGCGGUCUCCUCCUAAAGAGUAACGGAGGAGUACGAAGGUGCGCUCAGACCGGUCGGAAAUCGGUCGUAGAGUAUAAAGGCAAAAGCGCGCUUGACUGCGAGACAGACACGUCGAGCAGGUACGAAAGUAGGUCUUAGUGAUCCGGUGGUUCUGUAUGGAAGGGCCAUCGCUCAACGGAUAAAAGGUACUCCGGGGAUAACAGGCUGAUACCGCCCAAGAGUUCAUAUCGACGGCGGUGUUUGGCACCUCGAUGUCGGCUCAUCACAUCCUGGGGCUGAAGCCGGUCCCAAGGGUAUGGCUGUUCGCCAUUUAAAGUGGUACGCGAGCUGGGUUUAGAACGUCGUGAGACAGUUCGGUCCCUAUCUGCCGUGGACGUUUGAGAUUUGAGAGGGGCUGCUCCUAGUACGAGAGGACCGGAGUGGACGAACCUCUGGUGUUCCGGUUGUCACGCCAGUGGCAUUGCCGGGUAGCUAUGUUCGGAAUAGAUAACCGCUGAAAGCAUCUAAGCGGGAAACUAGCCUCAAGAUGAGAUCUCACUGGAACCUUGAGUUCCCUGAAGGGCCGUCGAAGACUACGACGUUGAUAGGUUGGGUGUGUAAGCGCUGUGAGGCGUUGAGCUAACCAAUACUAAUUGCCCGUGAGGCUUGACCAU